GGGCUCGUGGUGUAGCUAGGAUAUCACCAGGGCUUCCGGAGCCCUAAACCCGGGUUCGAAUCCCGGCGAGUCCG
Molecule: transfer RNA, 74 nt
Filed under: Thermoplasmatota archaeon
Lineage: Archaea; Methanobacteriati; Thermoplasmatota
Description: tRNA-Arg
Rfam family: tRNA
About the family: Transfer RNA (tRNA) molecules are approximately 80 nucleotides in length. Their secondary structure includes four short double-helical elements and three loops (D, anti-codon, and T loops). Further hydrogen bonds mediate the characteristic L-shaped molecular structure. tRNAs have two regions of fundamental functional importance: the anti-codon, which is responsible for specific mRNA codon recognition, and the 3' end, to which the tRNAs corresponding amino acid is attached (by aminoacyl-tRNA synthetases). tRNAs cope with the degeneracy of the genetic code in two manners: having more than one tRNA (with a specific anti-codon) for a particular amino acid; and 'wobble' base-pairing, i.e. permitting non-standard base-pairing at the 3rd anti-codon position.
Source: RNAcentral